UACGAAGGGGGCUAGCGUUGCUCGGAAUCACUGGGCGUAAAGCGCACGUAGGCGGGUCGUUAAGUCAGGGGUGAAAUCCUGGAGCUCAACUCCAGAACUGCCCUUGAUACUGGCGAUCUUGAGUUCGGGAGAGGUGAGUGGAACUGCGAGUGUAGAGGUGAAAUUCGUAGAUAUUCGCAAGAACACCAGUGGCGAAGGCGGCUCACUGGCCCGAUACUGACGCUGAGGUGCGAAAGCGUGGGGAGCAAACAGG
RNAcentral lists this ribosomal RNA (253 nucleotides) under uncultured bacterium. RNAcentral describes it as "partial 16S ribosomal RNA". It matches the Rfam family "Bacterial small subunit ribosomal RNA", at positions 524 to 776 of the family's 1533-position model. The record is from RNAcentral.